Molecule: ribosomal RNA, 245 nt
Filed under: uncultured bacterium
Lineage: Bacteria
Description: partial 16S ribosomal RNA
Rfam family: Bacterial small subunit ribosomal RNA
Source: RNAcentral
GAGGGUGCAAGCGUUAAUCGGAAUUACUGGGCGUAAAGCGCACGCAGGCGGUUGAUUGAGUCAGAUGUGAAAUCCCCGGGCUUAACCCGGGAAUUGCAUCUGAUACUGGUCAGCUAGAGUCUUGUAGAGGGGGGUAGAAUUCCAUGUGUAGCGGUGAAAUGCGUAGAGAUGUGGAGGAAUACCGGUGGCGAAGGCGGCCCCCUGGACAAAGACUGACGCUCAGGUGCGAAAGCGUGGGGAGCAAA